This 152-nucleotide ribosomal RNA is filed under the name Pseudomonas sp. URIL14HWK12:I9. Its description in RNAcentral is "23S rRNA. Bacterial LSU". It matches the Rfam family "Bacterial large subunit ribosomal RNA", at positions 2778 to 2925 of the family's 2925-position model. The record is from RNAcentral. Lineage: Bacteria; Pseudomonadati; Pseudomonadota; Gammaproteobacteria; Pseudomonadales; Pseudomonadaceae.
CAUCUAAGCGGGAAACUUGCCUCAAGAUGAGAUCUCACUGGGAUCUUGAAUCCCCUAAAGGGCCGUCGAAGACUACGACGUUGAUAGGUGGGGUGUGUAAGCGCUGUGAGGCGUUGAGCUAACCCAUACUAAUUGCCCGUGAGGCUUGACCA